RNAcentral lists this long non-coding RNA (375 nucleotides) under Scophthalmus maximus (turbot). RNAcentral describes it as "lncRNA (ENSSMAG00000024702.1)". Lineage: Eukaryota; Metazoa; Chordata; Actinopteri; Pleuronectiformes; Scophthalmidae. The record is from RNAcentral.
UUGUGAGCCAAUGGGCAACAUUUGCUUUUCUUCUUAUCAUUAUCAUAUAUAUUACUUGAAGAUGGUAUGUGAAAGUUUUCUCUGCUAAUGAAUGUGGUUUCUUGCAGGGGGCAGGUGGUGGUGCUGGUUGCUUUCUGAGAGCUACAGCCAUUGUUGCGAUUCCAGGAGAGGGGGGUAUGAUACAUCCUCUGAGCAGCAUGUGAGAGGUUUAGAAGAUGAAGUGAACACAUCCUUGGAAAACAUUGGCUCGUGAUGUGGGAGUUACAGACAGAAGAAAGAGAGCGAAAGAGCAGCUCCGUGCACACAGGUGUGAGGAGAUGAAAAACCUCUGGACUGCCUUUUUCCAUUAUUUAUCCACCCUUUAGAGCUGGCCUG